Molecule: ribosomal RNA, 406 nt
Filed under: uncultured bacterium
Lineage: Bacteria
Description: partial 16S ribosomal RNA
Rfam family: Bacterial small subunit ribosomal RNA
Source: RNAcentral
AUUGAACGCUGGCGGCAGGCUUAACACAUGCAAGUCGAACGAGUGGCGGACGGGUGAGUAAUGCCUGGGAAUCUGGCUGAUGGAGGGGGAUAACGACUGGAAACUGUCGCUAAUACCGCGUACCAUAGGAUGAGCCCAAGUGGGAUUAGGUAGUUGGUGGGGUAAAGGCUCACCAAGCGGACGAUCCCUAGCUGGUCUGAGAGGAUGACCAGCCACACUGGAACUGAGACACGGCCCGGACUCCUACGGGAGGCAGCAGUGGGGAAUAUUGCGCAAUGGGGGCAACCCUGAUGCAGCCAUGCCGCGUGAAUGAAGAAGGCCUUCGGGUUGUAAAGUACUUUCGGUAAUGAGGCGUUACUUACAGAAGAAGCACCGGCUAACUCCGUGCCAGCAGCCGCGGUAAUUC